RNAcentral lists this long non-coding RNA (779 nucleotides) under Mus musculus (house mouse). RNAcentral's name for it is "long non-coding RNA chr11:70260381-70261160". The record is from RNAcentral. Lineage: Eukaryota; Metazoa; Chordata; Mammalia; Rodentia; Muridae.
GUCUUCAGACACACCAGAAGAGGGCAUCAGAUGCCCAUUACAGAUGGUUGUGAGCCACCAUGUGGUUACUGGGAAUUGAACUCAGUACCUUUGGAAGCGAGUGGGAGAGCCUGAGUUGCUGGGGAAGUGAAGACCCUGUAGACCAGCACUUCUCAGCCUUCCUAAUGCUGCAACCUUUUAAUACAGUUCCUCGUGUUGUGGUGACCCCGAACCAAAGCAUUAUUUUUGUUGCUACGUCAUAACUGUAGUUUUGCUAUUGUUAUGAAUCAUAAUGUAAAUACCUGUGUUUCCUGAUGGUCUUAGGUGACCCCUGUGAGUGGCUCAUUUGACCCACAAAGAGGUCUCGACCCACAGGCUGAGAACCCCUGGAGUAGAAGAAAAGAAAAUUCUGAGAAUGUGUGGAAGAACGGGUUCUCAGUGCUGCAAUCUCAUCAAAGGGGACAGGACACAAACAUCAGACCUAACCCAAAGGCCAUGGCCCCCCAAGGAGCACAGUAUGUAAAAGUGUAUGAAGGAAUUAGACUUUUAUGAGGCAGCACACAUAGCAAUUAGAAAACAAUGUCUCACAGACUCCCAGAGCAGGACAGUAAUAAAGGAAAGGUAGAAAACUGUGGCCCUAAGUAGCAGGGGACACCUCCUCCCUUGUGACUGGGAUAAAAGAGGAUACCCAAGAGCUGUGAUAGGUAGGAAGUUAUGGGCACGUGUAAUCUAUCUGGUGGCUUGUGGUUUUUUUUCUUUCUUUGUGUGAGAUUGACAGGAAGGUAGUGACACCAUGCCCA